GACGAACGCUGGCGGCGUGCCUAAUACAUGCAAGUUGAGCGAUGAAGAUUGGUGCUUGCACCAAUUUGAAGAGCAGCGAACGGGUGAGUAACGCGUGGGGAAUCUGCCUUUGAGCGGGGGACAACAUUUGGAAACGAAUGCUAAUACCGCAUAACAACUUUAAACAUAAGUUUUAAGUUUGAAAGAUGCAAUUGCAUCACUCAAAGAUGAUCCCGCGUUGUAUUAGCUAGUUGGUGAGGUAAAGGCUCACCAAGGCGAUGAUACAUAGCCGACCUGAGAGGGUGAUCGGCCACAUUGGGACUGGGACACGGCCCAACCUCCUACGGGAGGCAGCAGUAGGGAAUCUUCGGCAAUGGACGAAAGUCUGACCGAGCAACGCCGCGUGAGUGCAGAAGGUUUUCGGAUCGUAAAACUCUGUUGGUAGAGAAGAACGUUGGUGAGAGUGGAAAGCUCAUCAAGUGACGGUAACUACUCAGAAAGGGACGGCUAACUACGUG
RNAcentral lists this ribosomal RNA (497 nucleotides) under uncultured bacterium. RNAcentral describes it as "partial 16S ribosomal RNA". It matches the Rfam family "Bacterial small subunit ribosomal RNA", at positions 28 to 507 of the family's 1533-position model. The record is from RNAcentral.